AGUGUUGGUGGGUCAGUGAAGGAGUUGAAGACGAAGGAGGAGCUUGAUCACGUGCGCCAGAGUGGCGCACCGGUUAUCCUGCACUUCUGGGCAUCAUGGUGUGAAGCCUCUAAGCACAUGGACCAAGUUUUUUCUCACCUUUCUACCGAUUUUCCACAUGCCCAUUUCUUCAGGGUAUCUUUUUUUUUUCCUUUUUUUUUUGUUGGGUUUUUAGCUUUUGCUUUUUUGGGUGGUUUUGUGUUUUAAUUUUAAGUGAUCGAAAUCGUUUUUUAGGUUGAAGCUGAAGAGCACCCCGAAAUUUCUGAAGCUUACUCUGUUUCAGCUGUGCCUUUCUUUGUCUUCUUCAAGGUUCUUUUUCUAAAUUUUAUUGUUUAUUUUUUAGCUUAAUUGAGGUAUUGGUUUGCUUGGUUGUUAUUCUUGUUUAUGUUUUAUAGGGUAUAUGAGAUGAAGUAUAAUUAUAUCUUGUUUACUUGAAUCUCUAAGGUAUUAUUCUCUGUUUGGUUUUACAGAUACGGCUUGAAUCGUUCAAGUGGGAGGGUUUUUGUGGUUGUUUGAAACUAAUGCUCAUUAGCAGUUUAGCAAAGGGUAGAAAUUAGUGUUGUUGGUUUUACUUUUAGGCUUUUCACUUUAUCUUUGUUGAUUGUGGCAUAUAGUCUCCUGUUGUGGUCUGUAGUGUUUGAUUAAAUUUUGUUAGGCUUUUUUUUCUUUUUUUGGGUUGGGUUUAUAGUUAGAUAUUCUACUUGAACUAGGUGUGGAUCAUUUUGUAAUCCUUCCUUAGAUACAUUAGCAAUUAUUACAAGCCACUGAUUCUUUCGAAUUGGGUCUAGAGGAUAUCUCUGUGUUUAUGCAUCUCAAGGAAAACAGCCAACCAGUCAAUUGUAUGUGCAAAUACUUUUUGUAGUCGAUAAGCUUUCUUCUCUGUCUAGGUUUUGGUUUCUUUCACCGAUGACAAUCUUUUAGGUAUUCUAUUUGUGUUUAUAUGUGUUCGCUUAGUAAUUGAAUAAUUGUUUAAUGUAGUUGCUUCACUCACCUAUUGCUUUUUAACUGAAUAUCUCAAAUGAAUUUGCUUGAUAGGAUGGUAAGGCUAUUGAUUCAUUGGAGGGUGCUGAUCCAUCCAGUUUGGCCAACAAGGUUGCUAAGGUUGCUGGAUCAGUUAACUCAGGAGAACCUGCUGCCCCUGCCAGCCUUGGGAUGGCUGCUGGACCCGCUAUACUUGAAGCUGUAAAAGAGUUGGCAAAACAAAAUGGCUCUUCCCAAGUGAACAAGGAAGUGGAGCCUGGUCUCAGUGAUGCUCUUAAAAAGCGGCUGCAGCAGCUGCUUGACUCUCACCCUGUCAUGCUAUUUAUGAAGGGAACUCCUGAAGAGCCCAAGUGUGGGUUCAGUAGGCAAGUUGUUGACAUUUUGAAAGAUGAAAAGGUCGAGUUUGGAAGUUUCAACAUUCUUUCGGACAAUGAGGUUCGUGAGGGAUU
This 1469-nucleotide long non-coding RNA is filed under the name Citrus x clementina. RNAcentral describes it as "Citrus clementina (C. clementina) long non-coding RNA (CCLE_LNC005722)". Lineage: Eukaryota; Viridiplantae; Streptophyta; Magnoliopsida; Sapindales; Rutaceae. The record is from RNAcentral.